Molecule: transfer RNA, 91 nt
Filed under: Sphaerotilus montanus
Lineage: Bacteria; Pseudomonadati; Pseudomonadota; Betaproteobacteria; Burkholderiales; Sphaerotilaceae
Also listed under: 1 other name
Description: tRNA-Ser
Rfam family: tRNA
About the family: Transfer RNA (tRNA) molecules are approximately 80 nucleotides in length.
Source: RNAcentral
GGAGACGUGACCGAGUGGCCGAAGGUGCUCCCCUGCUAAGGGAGUAUGUACCAAAAGUGCAUCGAGGGUUCGAAUCCCUCCGUCUCCGCCA